This is a long non-coding RNA of Nyctereutes procyonoides (raccoon dog), 1830 nucleotides long. RefSeq lists it as uncharacterized. The transcript is spliced from 3 exons. The record is from RefSeq and is a predicted model, not a curated record. Lineage: Eukaryota; Metazoa; Chordata; Mammalia; Carnivora; Canidae.
CAACAAACAAACCUUGCAGAUACAGCACAGAAGUGACACUGAAAGCUGCCUGCGGUGGACUGGAGGGAGAGUCAGUUGAACAGAUCUCCCUGGAGAAAUUCUUCAGGAAUGAAGGAACUAGCAGGUCAUGAUCUUGGAGUUGUGGCAUUGAGCCCUGCAUCGGGUUCUGCACGCAGCACAAGAUCAGACUCAAAAAUACCUCAGCCUGGAACUCCUGCCCUUCAGCUCAUUUUACAUUGAAGGCCAUUAUUCUAUAUGAACCUGCGAUGCUGCAGAAGAUACAAGACUCCCAGAUCAAAGACAAUGUGAUUUAUUUUUCACAGUAGCUCACAGCAUGAGCUUCAUGUUCACACUGACUCCCCUUGUGCCCUAAUUCUCACAGAGGCAACAAUGAGAAGCCGACUUUUCUAUAGUAGGAUGUGGCACCUAUUAUAAGAUAAUAGGCCAUUUGAUCAAAUCCAUAUUGUUAAACAUAUCUUCAUACAGUAGCUUUCAUGAAAAAUCACCAUCGUUCAUAUUAUAACUAGAUUAUCUAUUGUGCUAAGCCAGCAGUUUCUCAUCUUUCCCACCCAGUCUCUCACUACCUUAAGUGAAAUAUAUGGAAACCUCACAGGAAAGUUCUUAUCUCUCUAUAUGAAAUUUUAUCCUAAAAAUCCUCCAUUAAAUCAGCACUUCGAUAAUUCAACCAACUGUUCUUUAUUUUUAAGAGAUUUUUUCUCAAUAUAUCCUUACCAUUCUAUCUAUGUGUAAGAGGCCAUUGAAAAGUCAGGAAUUUAACUGGUCAAUAAAAGCAAUUUACACAAUUCAUCCCAAGAUGUAGAGUCUCCCAGUGAAGGUCAUAAGCUUCAUAAGAUUUGUGUAUGUAUGGCCCACUCAUUUAAAAGAGAUCAAAGGGGAAAAACUAGAAAAUCAUACAACAGAGGAGAAAAAAGUGAUGAGAUUAAAAGUGUCUCCACAGACCCAACUCGUGUCUGCUUCUGCAUAUUACAUUUAAGUUAAUCUGUAUUAAUUGCCUAUUUCUGUGUAUCUCCUGUGACUUUCUGAAUUAUCAUAUAUUCAAAGUUUCAACUUAGUAGUAGUAUGUUGUCAUGCUAACUGAUGCUGUGAUUUCAGAUACAGACUUCUGUGGAUUUUGAUUGUUGCCUACUUCUUACACGAUAGGCAAGUUACCUUACAACAUCUUUUAGGGAAUUACAAUACCAGCAAUGAUUCAGAUGGGAUAGUGUGAACUAGAAUGAAGACAAGUAGAACUGCAAUAAAGAGAUUCCAGGCUUGAGUUUGAUGCUGCUAAAUGUCUAAGAAAAAUUAGACUGCUCAGGAUAGAUUUUUUUUUCCAGAAUAGAAUCUAUUUGAGUGAUAUAUGUUCUUGGCAUUUAUGAUAUCUCAUUGUGGAUUAAUCAACUAGGAUAAAUUUAGAAUAGCAUGUUAGAAAUGCAAACAAAUGUUAGAAUCCGAAAAUUGAGAAAAAUGAUGUUAAUUUUAUACCUCAAGAUUCUGGAAAAGGACAAAUACGAGGAUUGGAGCAACCCAAAGUAGUAUGUGAAAAUGUUCAAUGUAAGGUUAAAAAGCAUGAGGUCAAUAAAAGAUUCGAGGCCUUUGGAAAGCUAAGAAAAGAAGUUAAGAGUGGAUAAAGACUGGAAAAUACAUCAAAAGUAAAUUUCAGAAGAUUUUUAAGGCAGUAAAAAUAGUCUGCAUAAUACUACAAUGGUGGUACUUGUCAUUAUACAUUCCUCCAAAACCAUCAGAUGCAUAACACCAAGAAUAAACCUUAAUAUAAGCUAGGGGCUUUGGGUCAUUAUGAUGUAUCAAUGUUGGUUCAUCAAUUAUAAU